UUGAAAGGGAAACGAUUGAAGUCAGUCGUACCUGCGGACAAUCAGCCUUUCGGGUGCGAUUAUGUGGAGCGUGGGGAGCUAAACACCUUCAUGCCUGCGUAUUUGUAUUCUGGGGUGUACUUGGACGUGCGGUAGGUUAACAUCAAUUUCGGACGUCAUAAAAUGGCUGGAGGAAUGUAGCUUCGGUCUCGUACUGAAGUGUUAUAGCCUUCGGCAGAUAUGGUGACCGGGAUUGAGGAUUGCAACGGAUACCUUUUGGGCUAUCCGUCUGAUCUCUGAAAGUUGCUCUGGUGCCGAAAGCUUGCUUACGGUUAUCAAAGUUGACGUUCAAAAGGUUAGAACGGGUUAAAUUCGUUAAGGAUGUUGACGUA
RNAcentral lists this ribosomal RNA (371 nucleotides) under uncultured Glomeromycotina. RNAcentral's name for it is "LSU rRNA". Lineage: Eukaryota; Fungi; Glomeromycota. The record is from RNAcentral.